GAAAUGCGAUAAGUAAUGUGAAUUGCAGAAUUCAGUGAAUCAUCGAAUCUUUGAACGCACAUUGCGCCCGCCGGCAUCCCGGCGGGCAUGCCUGUUCGAGCGUCAUUUCAACCCUCAGGCUCCGCCUGGCGUUGGGGACCUGCGCACGCAGCCCCCGAAAGACAGCGGCGGGUGCGCCCUGGAAUCGAACGCAGUAGCUUCUUCUCGUUCUGGUUCGGGGCGCUCUCCGGCCGUAAAACACCCCCUCAAGGUUGACCUCGGAUCAGGUAGGAAUACCCGCUGAACUUAA
Molecule: unclassified non-coding RNA, 289 nt
Filed under: uncultured Chaetosphaeriaceae
Lineage: Eukaryota; Fungi; Ascomycota; Sordariomycetes; Chaetosphaeriales; Chaetosphaeriaceae
Description: sequence contains ITS1
Rfam family: 5.8S ribosomal RNA (bases 1-105)
Source: RNAcentral